UCAUUUAGUGUAUUGUAACCUUUAUUUAAAUCAAGAACCCGUUAAUGUUUCGUAAUAUAGUUAUAUGCAUACUUUGAGGUGACAUGAGAAUUAUCACGUAGGCAUAUCCGUGUUCCAUGAUAGAAAACUGGGUGUAAAUAGAGAAUAUACGACUGAACAAAGAUGUCUCGGCCACACAUCCCUAUUGCCAGCGAAAAGGGUCGCUUUGAUAUGCUGAAAUAUGUACCAUACAUUGGAGGGGCAGCAGCGUUAUUACGGUUCAUUCAGUUCAAACGGCGAAAAGGAUUUCACGAUACCAACAGCUUUCUUCUCACUAGUCGUGUCUUCAUCCAAGGUACCAUGGUAGUGUCCAUCUUAGGUAUCGGCAUUUACCAGGGGGAAAAAAUGCAGAAAGAAAAGGACAUGAGAAAGCAAGAAGAAAAAGAUAAAAAAAGACUGGCAAGAUUAGAAAGACUUAAAGAAAAAGAAGCAGAAACCUUGGGAAAACCAGUGUUAUGAGUGUUGAUUGUGUAGAAACUGUUUAACAUUUAUUAAAGUAUUUAAUUAAUUUAAGAGAGUGAAUUUAUUUCAAGUUGUUGAGUUGUCUUAUGCGCUAUAACAGAUAAAUUGACAAAACUGGUAACCCAUUAACAAAACAGAUGAGAUUGUUACUCUGAUAACAUGCAAGUUCACAUGAAUUUCAUCGGAUAUGGCUGUGUAAGAAAAAAAGCAACCAUAUUUGAAAAAACAAACUCACAAACAAAAAUAAUAUAAGCCAAUUAGUUGGUAUUGUGAUAUUUUAUUUUACAUUUAUAUAAUUGAUUUUAAUGAUUCUUUUUUGUUUGAACACUGGGGCAGCUGGUGCUAUUGUUUUAAAGAUAACUGUUACUCCAAUAUAGCGCGGUCAAUGGGGUCCAAGCUGCGAAACAGCGUUAUAAGGGAUCCACGUUAUAGGUUUUGAGCUCAUUUACUGCAGGGCGCUAUAAAAAAACAGGUAUAGAAUAGCCUAUAAUAUAGGUCAUGUAUAUUGCCAUGCUGUGUUGACGCAAAUACAUGCAUAUAAACCGAAUCGUAUCGAUAACAGUAUACAUACCGCUUUUCUUAUGUGCACAUUUAUCCAAUAAUCCAAUAAAAUUGCAACAUCACUUAAAAAAUAAUAAUCUUGAACAUUAAUGACGAUAUAUGUUUAAGAAAUUCGUAAACACAACCGUACACAUAUAUGCCAUUUUCAGAAGUGUUAAGAGUACUGUGCAUUAUGGGGCAGAGCUUUCAUUGGUCGAGCGACAUUAAAUUUUGAUUGAAUGCAAUACGACUCAUGUACAAAAAAUUGUUUUAUUGCGUCAUACUUUCUGAUACCGCGCGAAAAUGAAAGUGAAACUCUGUUAAUAAUUACCGGUACACUGCGUUCGCAUGUAAAUAAAUCGUCUGCAUUAUUUGAUUUCUUAUACACGAACUGAAAGAUUAAAUGACAUAAUACUAGAAUGAUAAUGAAAUGACAGAAAAAGUUUUUUUAUACAGUAGGCAGUAUAUUUCACAGCCGCUCAUUUAAUAUAGUCAAACUGCAACCAUAUCAAAGUAAGAAUGUUUAAAUCGUUUUGAAUUACUUUAAUUGUAUAACUAUCCCGCUUGCAAUAAACUUAUGGAAAUUAUCGCACUGAACCGCUCUGAUGAGGAAUACAUGUAAUAAACAAUGACACGCGAGUUUUUCACACCUUUAUUGACAUUACACAUUGUGACAACAGAUUAACACCAAUAAGCUGUCGGUGUUGUUUAACCUCGAGGCGAUUAUAAUCGGUUCAACGGAUGGUUGAAUAAAGCAAUCAACAUGUGAUUGCCGCCAUCUUUGAAUUGUCUGAAAAUACAUGAAGUUGCAUCAUACGGAUUUGAAUCAGAAAUCAAAUGGAAGGUUGGAGAAAAAAUGGGAUCCAAGCACCCUCAGCGUUAUAUUGGAUUCAGCGUUAUAACGAAGCGCGUUAUAUUGGAGUUACAUUGUUAUUAUUAUCAUUAAUAUAUAUUUGUAUGCAUGCAUCAUUGAAUUCAAUUGUAAUUAGAUUAAAUGGUCAUGGGGUUCGCAUAGUUGAUAUUGGAAAGUGUACUUUCAAUUUUACAUUUUGAUGUAUUUAUCUUUCAAAUGUGUAGGCAAAGGAAUUUCAUUGUUAUUUCUGUUUACCGUAGGUUUCCACGUAUAGCGCGCUCCCGUGUAUAGCGCGCAGGCUGUUUUUUAAAUGCAAAAAUGGAGACAAAAUAUUUAAAGACAAUAAAACCACCAGAUCGGACUGAAAAUGGCCGCCAUUUUACUAUUGCACAAUCCAAUAAUCUGGGGCAUUGGAAUGCUUAAUUAAGCAUUCAAAAUAGGAAGCGUCAUUAUGAUUCGGAGCAAGGGUUGCAUAGCAAAAUACUUUUUUGACAAUUUUGUAAUUUUCUAGCCAAAGAUUAACAGUCCACAUGCAUUUCGUGAAAAACGUGAGAAAAUAAGAAUAAGUGUACAUCGUGUCAUUUUUCCUCGGGGAAAGCAUGGGCAUUACCUGUAAAUUUGAAUGUCGCAUGGGAGACAGGGAUACAGUUGUUGAGAUACACCUCUGAUGAACGUUCAAUAUUUAGACACACAAAAUGCAAUUGCAUAUCUUCACGUUCUCAAGUGUCAAUUAGUGUCUAAAAUGUCAAUUAGCAUCUUAACAAUUCGUGGCACAUUUUACUCAAUAACAUCUGCCAAUUACAAAGAGCAAAACGACCCGCUUUCACACCUACCGUUACCCGCAAAAAAGACCUUGUUCGCACAUACCCUUGCCUGCUCUCCGGAAUGUCGACAACAAUCCCCAUCGGAAUUCAUCAAUAAAGAAGUGUAAAAACACAAACAAAGAAAUGUCUGCAAGUUUAUUCAAACAAAUUAUUUUUUGACCAAAACUUCUUCUACCACGUUCAUAUCUACCAGUAGCGACUUUUUGUUGUUUCAACAAUGGCCCCUCAGUCUGUACGAUUAUAGGGUGGCAGUUUUCUGGAAAAAAACAUGGCGGCCAUUUUGAUUAUUUACGAUUACACAACAUAUUUUUUACCAAUUUAGCAGCCAGGAUAGCGUUGUAUCAAUGUAUAGCGCGCACCAGCGUUUUAAUUUGAAUUUUGGAGGUUAAACACUGCGCGCUAUACGUGGAAACCUACGAUAUUAGCACAUUAGCUUAGAAAGCAUAAUUGAAAAUUAUAAUACCCGUUUCAUGCAAAAAUGGGUCUUAUGCUAUUUGCAUCCAGCGUAAAUCCAGAAUAGCUUGGGCUACGCUGCGGGCUUUAACUCUUUCCCAGUUAUAAGCGAAGUUAAAAUGGCUAUGUGCAAACAGCAUAAAACCAGAACAGCCUGCGAGUUACUCACUUUCACUUUAUACACUAUUAUACUCUGUAUUAAAGAAGUAAUAACAACAGUUGGAAAGUCAGAUAUGACUUAUUUUCUUAAUAUGAAAAAUAUUAGUGUUGGCUUGUACUACACCAAAGUUCUUAGAGCCUUAAAGUUGUCAAUGGAAUGCUUUUGAUAUUGUCGUGAUGUUUUUUUUAAUAUUUGAAUGUUUAACAUAUUCAUAUGUUUGUGAUGGGAUUUGCACACACAAUCACGGUUUGAUCAGCUUGUUGGUUCUGUGCUCUAUUUAGAUGAACUGACUUUCAACCAACCUAUCAAGUUUAAUUACUCCUUUUAACUCAAAUUGAAUUGUGUGUGUGUGUGCACACCACAAUGAUGACAUUAUCAACAUUAUAUUCUUGAGAAUAAAUUAAGAAAUAAUGACUUCAGCUUCAUUUAGGAGAAACAAAAGCUUAAAAUGUUUCGCCAUUAUAAUUUUUGUUUGUUAAUACUACAUUUUAGAAAGAGAGACACAGUUACUUAAUAUGGAAAUGUGUGUUUGAGUUUUUAAAUGGACAUUAGUUUUGGCUUGUGUUUAGAACAUAAAGAUGUACAUAGCCCUGUUGUUUUUUACCUUGUAAAGCAGUAUUGAUCUUGGUAUGUAUGCUGUUGAUAGUAAUUGUGUUACAUAUUCAAGCUGAAGAAGUAUGUCUUUCUAAAAAAUAAAAUUGAAAAUGAGA
This is a long non-coding RNA of Dreissena polymorpha, 4041 nucleotides long. RefSeq lists it as uncharacterized. The record is from RefSeq and is a predicted model, not a curated record. The transcript is spliced from 3 exons. NCBI's taxonomy places the organism in Eukaryota, Metazoa, Mollusca, Bivalvia, Myida, Dreissenidae.